CGAACGGGUGAGUAACGCGUGAGUAACCUGCCCUAGAGUGGGGGACAACAGUUGGAAACGACUGCUAAUACCGCAUAAGCGCACGGCAUCGCAUGAUGCAGUGUGAAAAACUCCGGUGGUAUAAGAUGGACCCGCGUUGGAUUAGCUAGUUGGUGAGGUAACGGCCCACCAAGGCGACGAUCCAUAGCCGACCUGAGAGGGUGACCGGCCACAUUGGGACUGAGACACGGCCCAA
RNAcentral lists this ribosomal RNA (235 nucleotides) under uncultured bacterium. Its description in RNAcentral is "partial 16S ribosomal RNA". It matches the Rfam family "Bacterial small subunit ribosomal RNA", at positions 99 to 334 of the family's 1533-position model. The record is from RNAcentral.